Long non-coding RNA from Podarcis raffonei (Aeolian wall lizard), 412 nucleotides. RefSeq lists it as uncharacterized. The record is from RefSeq and is a predicted model, not a curated record. The transcript has 2 exons. NCBI's taxonomy places the organism in Eukaryota, Metazoa, Chordata, Lepidosauria, Squamata, Lacertidae.
AAAUUAAUAGACCUAACUUAGUUAUAUUAAUUCAUUUCAAUGUGCCCACUCAGAGUAAACCUUGAGAAUCAAACCAUAAAAGAACCAAACAGGCAGGAACUUGGGAUACCCAGUUGCCUCAAAAUCAGAAAGAAUGAACACCAUGAGGUUUCUUGAAACUGGGCAUCCUAUGAUGUUAAUUUUCUUUACUAGUAAUGUGUUCCACAUCACCAUAUACUUAACCUAACCAAAUGGUAUUUGAGAGAAAUAGGAAUGCCUGCUUGGUCUCUUGAUAACAUCAUUCCCUUUCUUGAAUCCCAGCUGAAAAUGUAUCAUUGUAGUGAAUGUGAUAUUGUCAUAAUGCUAUAUAUUUAAUUGAUUUGUCUAUGUAACAAAACCAUGAGACAAAAAUAAAAGCCAAUGAAGACUGAGA